UACGUAGGGUGCGAGCGUUAAUCGGAAUUACUGGGCGUAAAGCGUGCGCAGGCGGAUUGUUAAGCAAGAUGUGAAAUCCCCGGGCUUAACCUGGGAAUGGCAUUUUGAACUGGCAGUCUAGAGUGUGUCAGAGGGGGGUGGAAUUCCACGUGUAGCAGUGAAAUGCGUAGAUAUGUGGAGGAACACCAAUGGCGAAGGCAGCCCCAUGGGAUAACACGGACGCGCAUGUAAGAAAGCGGGGGUAGCACACAGGCUGCGAUAACACCGUAGUCC
This 273-nucleotide ribosomal RNA is filed under the name uncultured bacterium. RNAcentral's name for it is "partial 16S ribosomal RNA". It matches the Rfam family "Bacterial small subunit ribosomal RNA", at positions 524 to 796 of the family's 1533-position model. The record is from RNAcentral.